Molecule: ribosomal RNA, 425 nt
Filed under: uncultured bacterium
Lineage: Bacteria
Description: partial 16S ribosomal RNA
Rfam family: Bacterial small subunit ribosomal RNA
Source: RNAcentral
GUUAGGAAUAUUGGACAAUGGGCGCAAGCCUGAUCCAGCCAUGCCGCGUGAGUGAUGAAGGCCUUCGGGUUGUAAAGCUCUUUAGCCGAUGAUUAUAAUGACUGUAGUCGGAAAAUAAGCCCCGGCUAACUUCGUGCCAGCAGCCGCGGUAAUACGAAUGGGGCGAGCGUUAUUCGGAAUCACUGGGCGUAAAGCGUGCGUAGGCUGCUUUGCAAGUUGGGAGUGAAAGCCCAGAGCUCAACCCUGGAAUUGCUCUCAAAACUGCAAGGCUCGAAUUCGGGAGAGGAUAGCGGAAUUGUCAGUGUAGCAGUGAAAUGCGUAGAUAUUGACAGGAACACCAGUGGCGUAAGCGGCUAUCUGGACCGAUAUUGACGCUGAGGCACGAAAGCGUGGGGAUCAAACAGGAUUAGAAACCCCGGUAGUCC